AGGAAAGUCUAGUUCCUUACAAAUAAACGUAUAGUGUUGUGAAUGUGAUAACGUUAGCGCUUAGGUAAGUGAGUGGGAUCAGUAGAUCUUAUUUCUCUCGCAACGAGAACGAAAGCGUUUGCUCCUCCGGAGUGUGCUUGAGGGACAAGGCUUGAUAUGUUGAAUGUCGCUUGGUUUUGUCUAGAAAAAUUGCCGCGGGGUGCUACUUCACUCAACUAAACUUAGCUUACCGCU
Molecule: non-coding RNA, 234 nt
Filed under: Candidatus Hodgkinia cicadicola
Lineage: Bacteria; Pseudomonadati; Pseudomonadota; Alphaproteobacteria; Hyphomicrobiales
Source: RNAcentral